ACCUCUGCAAUAGGCGAAAGCUUGACAGGGUUACUCUGAGUGACGUCCGUUAAGGACGUCUUUUGGCACCUCUAAAAAUGGUGCAGAAUAAGGGGUGGGCAAGUCUGGUGUCAGCCGCCGCGGUAAUACCAGCACCCCGAGUGGUCGGGACGAUUAUUGGGCCUAAAGCAUCCGUAGCCGGUUCUGCAAGUCUUCCGUUAAAUCCACCUGCUCAACAGAUGGGCCGCGGAGGAUACUACAGGGCUAGGAGGCGGGAGAGGCAAGCGGUACUCAGUGGGUAGGGGUAAAAUCCUCUGAUCCACUGAAGACCACCAGUGGCGAAGGCGGCUUGCCAGAACGCGCUCGACGGUGAGGGAUGAAAGCUGGGGGAGCAAACCGGAUUAGAUACCCGGGUAGUCCCAGCUGUAAACGAUGCAGACUCGGUGAUGGGUUGGCUUUGGGCCAACCCAGUGCCGCAGGGAAGCCGUUAAGUCUGCCGCCUGGGGAGUACGGUCGCAAGACUGAAACUUAA
Molecule: ribosomal RNA, 511 nt
Filed under: uncultured archaeon
Lineage: Archaea
Description: bacterial SSU rRNA
Rfam family: Archaeal small subunit ribosomal RNA
Source: RNAcentral